This 69-nucleotide transfer RNA is filed under the name Heterocephalus glaber (naked mole-rat). It matches the Rfam family "tRNA". From Rfam's summary of the family: Transfer RNA (tRNA) molecules are approximately 80 nucleotides in length. The record is from Rfam by way of RNAcentral. Lineage: Eukaryota; Metazoa; Chordata; Mammalia; Rodentia; Bathyergidae.
GGACAUAUAGCUCAGUGGUAGAGCACUUGUCUAGAAUGCAUGAGGUCCUGGGUUCAGUCUCCAGCACCA